This 423-nucleotide ribosomal RNA is filed under the name Triticum aestivum (bread wheat). RNAcentral's name for it is "partial small subunit ribosomal RNA". The record is from RNAcentral. Lineage: Eukaryota; Viridiplantae; Streptophyta; Magnoliopsida; Poales; Poaceae.
AUGACUCGAUGCCCUGACUGCCCACGGACUGCGCCACUGAAGCGGUUGACUUCGAAGGAGGAGAAGAAUGGGAACUUUGGGCGUGAGUUCGUCAAAUGCGAGAGCAAGCCAGAGGGGCAGAUCGUGAAGAAAUGCCACCAUUUCGAGUGGAUGGAUGAUUACAUCCGGAGGCUUCAAGGGUCGGGCUUGCUGGAUUCGAGGGGGAAUGCAAUCCGCGAGUCCAAUCUGCCCCAUGACAGUGCCGCUCCGGCAGCAGCAGCGCGUCCGGAAUACCCGACGAUGGUAGAUGUCGAAUUGAAGACGGAAUUGAAGAAGAUGAACAAGAACUUCAAGCAGCUGAUUGAGUUGAAGAAGCAAUCCAAUCUGAUAGCUUUAGGAAUACUUGCUCCAGGAAUUUUUUACUUGAUGGCCAUCUCUCGUUAG